GAUGAACGCUGGCGGCGUGCCUAACACAUGCAAGUCGAACGGAGAUUACGGACGGAAGUUUUCGGAUGGAAGACUGUAAUUCUUAGUGGCGGACGGGUGAGUAACGCGUGGGCAACCUGCCCUAUACAGGGGGAUAGCAGCUGGAAACGGCUGGUAAGACCGCAUAAGUCGGCGAGACCGCAUGGUUUUGCCGGGAAAUGAGCAAUCAGGUAUAGGAUGGGCCCGCGUCCGAUUAGCCAGUUGGCAGGGUAAAAGCCUACCAAAGCAACGAUCGGUAGCCGGACUGAGAGGUCGGACGGCCACAUUGGGACUGAGACACGGCCCAAACUCCUACGGGAGGCAGCAGUGGGGGAUAUUGCACAAUGGAGGAAACUCUGAUGCAGCGACGCCGCGUGAGUGAAGAAGUAUUUCGGUAUGUAAAGCUCUAUCAGCAGGGAAGAUGAUGACGGUACCUGACUAAGAAGCCCCGGCUAACUACGUG
Molecule: ribosomal RNA, 481 nt
Filed under: uncultured bacterium
Lineage: Bacteria
Description: partial 16S ribosomal RNA
Rfam family: Bacterial small subunit ribosomal RNA
Source: RNAcentral